CGCAAUGGGCGAAAGCCUGACGGAGCAAUACCGCGUGAGGGAUGACGGCCUAUGGGUUGUAAACCUCUUUUUUCAGGGAGGAAUCAAUGACGUGUACCUGAAGAAUAAGCAUCGGCUAACUCCGUGCCAGCAGCCGCGGUAAGACGGAGGAUGCAAGUGUUAUCCGGAAUCACUGGGCGUAAAGCGUCUGUAGGUGGUCAAAUAAGUCAACUGUUAAAUCUUGAGGCUCAACCUCAAAAUCGCAGUCGAAACUAUUAGACUAGAGUAUAGUAGGGGUAAAGGGAAUUUCCAGUGGAGCGGUGAAAUGCGUAGAGAUUGGAAAGAACACCGAUGGCGAAGGCACUUUACUGGGCUAUUACUUUCUUUUGAGACGAAAGCUA
This 380-nucleotide ribosomal RNA is filed under the name uncultured organism. RNAcentral describes it as "bacterial SSU rRNA". It matches the Rfam family "Bacterial small subunit ribosomal RNA", at positions 367 to 762 of the family's 1533-position model. The record is from RNAcentral.